CACGUAAUCGUUCUUGUCAGUCCUAUCUUCACUGCUGUGAUAGGAUGGUAUAUUUCCUGUGGGGUUACUUCACAAGGUGCUUAAUAAAUCCGAAUAAAUAUUCAAUCUGCUUUGGUAAUUCCCAAGUAUUUCUUUACUACCUAAUAUAGUUCUGGGAUAUGUUGUAGAUUAUCUCCAUUUUUCGUAUAUACUGCAUGCAAUAGUCCAUAAUUAUACAUGGUCUGUAUGAGUUUUGGGUCUGUUUUGUUUAAUGCUACUAAUUUGUUGUAUCCCUUCAAAGGUUUGGCUUGCCAUCCAAUAAGUUUCUCUGGGUUUUGGGUCUGUUUUGUUUAAUGCUACUAAUUUGUUGUAUCCCUUCAAAGGUUUGGUUUGCCAUCCAAUAAGUUUUUCUGGGUUAUAGACUGGUGAUUGUAUGUUCUUGUUUAGGUAGUUGACAACUUGUAUGAAUUGGUUCUGGUAGUUGUUUAUUUUUUGCACGAAUUGAUUUUGUGUAGGUUUUUUGGUGAUUUCACUGUAAG
This 518-nucleotide long non-coding RNA is filed under the name Nicotiana benthamiana. Its description in RNAcentral is "long non-coding RNA (NBEN_LNC036945)". The record is from RNAcentral. Lineage: Eukaryota; Viridiplantae; Streptophyta; Magnoliopsida; Solanales; Solanaceae.